Molecule: long non-coding RNA, 371 nt
Organism: Rattus rattus (black rat)
Lineage: Eukaryota; Metazoa; Chordata; Mammalia; Rodentia; Muridae
Exons: 2
Source: RefSeq, a predicted model, not a curated record
AAGUUGGUAUUCACACAUCUCAGUUAAGGCUCCUGGAACUCUUGACUGGAAAUCACAAAGCUAGAAGAGAAUCCUUCAAGGGUCAGAAUCCAGAACAAAGGAAUUUCCAUCUCACAAAUUCCCACAAUGUAGUUUUGAAAAGAUUUAUUAAUUUUGUCUGUGAACUUUGUUUUUCUGUAUUUAUUUGUACCAUGCAUGAGCCUGAUCUCCACAGGGCACUGGAUGCUCUUGGGCAGGAGUUAUGGAUGGCUGUGAGCAACCAUCUGCCUGCUGGGAUCGAGACAUCAUCUGCAUUAGCACCAAGUGCUCUCAACCCCUGGGCUAUCUCCAAUUCCUGGACCAGUUUCUAAAAUAAACAUAAAUCUAAAGUA